GCCUGCAUUACUGGGCUAGUCUUCCAUGGCAGUGUUCGCAUCUACAGCGCUGCACAGGACGGUCGAUCGAUCGGCCACUGCCAAAGGAGAUUUGCCCAGCGAUGCAGCA
This 109-nucleotide microRNA precursor is filed under the name Setaria italica (foxtail millet). Its description in RNAcentral is "mir-399 microRNA precursor family". It matches the Rfam family "mir-399 microRNA precursor family". From Rfam's summary of the family: mir-399 was identified in both Arabidopsis thaliana and Oryza sativa computationally and was later experimentally verified. mir-399 is thought to target mRNAs coding for a phosphatase transporter. The mature sequence is excised from the 3' arm of the hairpin. RNAcentral also lists the same sequence under 1 other name. The record is from Rfam by way of RNAcentral. Lineage: Eukaryota; Viridiplantae; Streptophyta; Magnoliopsida; Poales; Poaceae.